Molecule: ribosomal RNA, 301 nt
Filed under: uncultured bacterium
Lineage: Bacteria
Description: partial 16S ribosomal RNA
Rfam family: Bacterial small subunit ribosomal RNA
Source: RNAcentral
CAGUAGCCGCGGUAAUACGAAGGGUGCAAGCGUUAAUCGGAAUUACUGGGCGUAAAGCGUGCGUAGGCGGUUUGUUAAGUCUGUUGUGAAAUCCCCGGGCUCAACCUGGGAAUGGCAAUGGAUACUGGCAAGCUAGAGUGUGUCAGAGGAUGGUGGAAUUCCCGGUGUAGCGGUGAAAUGCGUAGAGAUCGGGAGGAACGUCAGUGGCGAAGGCGGCCAUCUGGGACAACACUGACGCUGAGGCACGAAAGCGUGGGGAGCAAACAGGAUUAGAUACCCCUGUAGUCCCUGUCUCUUAUAC